Long non-coding RNA from Cynoglossus semilaevis (tongue sole), 3004 nucleotides. RefSeq lists it as uncharacterized. NCBI's taxonomy places the organism in Eukaryota, Metazoa, Chordata, Actinopteri, Pleuronectiformes, Cynoglossidae. The transcript has 3 exons. The record is from RefSeq and is a predicted model, not a curated record.
ACGACUUUAAAGUGAGAUUUACUGCUUUUCUUUAUUUAGAACCAGACAUGGAGACUUUGCGUUACUUUGUGGGUUUUUAACGGUUCAAUCCCCCAGAGUCCAUGGAGAAACUCUGUGAUUGGAAAUCAUGGCAAACAGAAGUUGUUGAUUUACAGCUGUCUCCAUCAGUUAGUUUACUUGUCUUAUUGUCUGACAUUGUUUUUGUUUUGUUUUUUAAAAGAUGUGUUAGAAUUUUGUUUGAUGAAAUCUCUAUUGACUUUGGUGUGAAAAAACAGAGAGGAAAGACAGGAAAACAACGUGAGUGAUUGUCCCCUAGGUGGAGGUGUUAAAAGUUAAAAGUUGGUCCUAAUAACUUUAGGAAUAUAAAUAUUUGAUAAAACUAUUGUGUUGCCUAAACACCAUCUACCUUCAGCUGUGUGAAACUACAGCAAAGGCAUUGGUUCUGAAACUUCAAUUGACUAAAUUAUUUUUUAUAUACAGUAUAUAUAUAAAGCAGCUCCUGCAGCUGAUUCCCAUCUGUGUCCUGAACAUACUCUCUUUCAGUUCCCCACUGCCUGCUCAAACCAUUUCCAUCAAAAAAAUCCCAGAAGUCACUGACUGCGUGCUGCGCUAAUGGCAGCUCCUGCAUCCAUUUUGUUUUUAAGCUCCUUUAAAUGAGCCUCUACGCCUUGUUGGAGAUAACACGUCUCUUAACCAAUCCUGCAGGCGGCUCAUUACAGCUAAUACAAUUAGGAAAGAUUGAAAAUGCGAUUAAUUCGGAAUUACACCGCGUUCCCGUUGUCACCCAGGGAUCCUCCAGAUGUUUCUUUGGCUUCCUCUCCUUUCUUUGUUGACAGACUCUGAUCAUUUUGAUCAAAAACAACUGUUAUAUCCAAAUAGCCUUUUAGCCUAAAUGUAGACCAGCAUUUAAAGUUGAAUCUAACAGCCUUACAAACAUAACACAGUGCUGUGUCUGGCUUAAGUCUCUCUUGAAACUGUUGAAGUCUUGUUGAUUCACCAUGGAUGGUUUUUCUUUGCUACGACACGGUGUACAUCGUUCCAAAGAAUGGUAAUGAUCUGUGGCCUAAGGAAAAGCAGACUUAAGUUGAGCUUGUUCUCAGGGAUUUAGAAAUGAAGCUGGAUUUUCCAGGUGUGACAUCGGCAGAUUUUCCGUUUCAUUUCUAACCUUCUUGGCUUAAAGAGCCAAAAGGCCAAACCUUUGAUUAUCAGUGCUGCCAUGUUCUGACCUUCACCAACAGUCAUUAGCUCUGAUUGGUGACUUUAAGAAUGAGAUUAUGGAUACCAAUGAAGGGAAUAAGCUUUCACCUCAGGGUGUGUGAGAGAAUGUCUGGAGACUGUGGAAAGUUCAGGUGGAACCGCUGCUCUAAAAGUUCUAAAACAUUUGUUGAAGUGCCAUCCAAAGCUUCUGUCGUUCAAACAUUAAUGAUAAAUUUCAAAUCUUUUUAAGGGCACUUUGCCUCGAGGUCGUGCCAGUUCCUGGCUCUGGUAACGGGGAAGUGUAAUCUGUGCCUAAUCAGGACAACUAGGGAUUUCUUUCUGGGUCCAUCCAAGUGGGAGCAGUCCCAGAACUCUCCAAACAGUAGUGUGUGUAUCCCACUAGGCCUGGAAUUACCAUGGAAUUUCCUUGGAAGAUUUGGGACACAGGGCUGUCUGAAAUAACCUGUGAUAAAUGAUGAAUGACAAUGAGGGCAGGAGGACGACAGCACUGUAUUCUUACACCGCUACAUGGCACUGAGAGAGUGUAGCCAAUGGCUCAUGGCUGAUGCCAUAGAUAUACAGAGAGAUACAUAGAAUUUUUCUUUAGCUGUGGGGGGCAGGUCACCCUGCACCCCCCACCCACAUGAUGUUCUCUUAAGCUUCAGUCCUUGCCAUUUUGUCAUCUGUCCUAUGGGUUAAUUAGACAUUAUGCUGAUGAUGUGACGCUGCUGUUAAGCCACGAGAAUUUUUCAAACACGACAUUGCGUGACAUUGUUACCGUCUGUAAUUGUAGGUCAUUAAUUUUGUUUGCCACACAGAGUACAUUGAUGAGGAAAUGCUGGGCGUCGCCAACACCAAAAUGACUAGAGCAAAGAUAUCCCAUGACUUUAUCACUUAAUCUUUACGAGGUGUUGAAAUGAUGGUACAGUUAUGGACUAUUAUUGUAUAUCUGCCCCAGCGAUUGGCAAGUAGCAGCGGGCCACCGCUGCUUAAUGUUCAUAGCUGUACCUAAUUAUGGUCAUGCAUCUCCAGGGAACGCCACUUACCAAACCUAUGCUGCAGUGAUCAAUCAUCUCAGAGAUGUUAUUGUUUAUAGUUAAGAAAUUACAAAUGGCCGACUUUGUGUCAUGUUUUGUCAGUGGCUCCUAGAAGCUUCAUUAUUUGGAUUGUCCUGACCUACAAACAGAUCUUCCAAGGCUGUCUUCAUGUGGAGUUUCGAGCUAAUAAGCUGUGCCUUAGGUUGAGCCAACUUCUUCUUUUGCAUUUAUUUUUUGUUCAAAAAUAUUAGACCUCAGAACAGAAGCAGUAGGAAUACUUGGACUCCCAUUGUGUCCCAUAUAGACUGCAUGUAUGAGGAGUAGUUCGCGUCUCGACUUGAGUUUGUCAAAGUUGUACAUCCCUAAAUGUUAAACGAGGUCAUCUGCCCUAUAAAGAUUAUAAAUUAAUGAUGGAUUUACACGGCAGUCGCUCAUUUUUACCAUUUAAGAAGCCAUCAAAACUUUAGCACGUAGCAAUAAUUAAAAGUUAAUUUAAGAGGUAGUUUUACGAAGACAUUACUCAUGAUCACCGCCUGGGUCGUUAUCAUAACAGCGAGGAAUUCACUGAUGACAAAGCAGAGGCUCAGUGACCUGAUUGUGUGACUGUUUAAAGAACAUGUUAAUGGGCCUAACCGGCUGCUAACCAUGAGUUCUUCUUCAUGUAUCGUACAUGAGUCCAUGUCGUUCUUUCUACCCUCGGAGUCUGAACUCUCCUUGAACUCUGUGACUAAUGACCUACUUUUCCCUCUCUUUUUUUUUUCCCCGAUAUG